AGAGAACAUAAAGGUGGAUAAAUCUCCAGGACCUGAUUUAAGGCUGGAGCUUUGCUCCAUGUUUAUGAGGAUGGAUCUGUUUUGUUGACCCAUGGUGGCAUAGAGCUGGGACAAGGCCUUCACACUAAGAUUCUUCAGAACUGCUUUGCUAGAGACAGAAACCCACAAAUCCAGAAGAGCCGCCAAUCCCCAAUGAGAUCCUGGCCUAAUAUAGAACAACUUGGGGCUCCUGCUGUUCGUUGAGACUGGGAAAAUUGGGAAGAAUUCUAUGGUAUUUGGGAGCCUCUGAGCACAACAUAUGCUGACCAGCUUGUUUAAACCCAUGUAUUUGUAUGGUUGAGUUUGAAAGAUGUGGUGAUGGAAAUUUCAAAUACACCCCCCAGAGAGACUGCGGUGCACAAGAAGCUUGAAAUUUGAAGCAGUAGCCCGAGCCUUAGGAGCAUUGUAUUUCAGAGAAUAAGUCGGCUUUUUGGUCCUUCAAGCAUGAUCCUGACUUAUUUGGUUGUGGCCAUGGCUCUAUUUUGCUGUCUGUAUCAUAUAACACUUGGUUCCCUUGUCUAUCAAAAAUCUAUUUUGUUCAACAUUCAAAAAAUUCAAAGAAUUAGCUUCCACUAUAUUCUAAGGAACUAAUGAUAUUUUGAGAGAAAAACUCAUUCUUGUAUCUAUCUUAAAAGGGAGACUUAUUCUUAAACUAUGUUCUCUGUGGUCCCAUCACAAGAGAAAACAUCUUCCCACUAACCACUAUAUACAGCCCUCAAGAUGUUUUUUGUUCCAAUUGAAUCAUCUCUUAUCUGUCUAGUCUCUAAACUUAACCUAUUCAACUUUUUGUCAUAAGGUACGCUGUUCUCUCAGGAAUGAAUUAAGUGCACCUUCUCGGAAUAGCUUUAAAAGCAAUUAUGUUUCUUUUUAACUAAUGAGACCAAAAUUGUACACAGUAUUCCAAAUGUGGCCUUACUAAUGUCCUGUACAACUACAGUAAAACUUCCCUAUGUUUUAUAUUCCAUUCCACUUGC
This is a non-coding RNA of Chiloscyllium plagiosum (whitespotted bambooshark), 1013 nucleotides long. Lineage: Eukaryota; Metazoa; Chordata; Chondrichthyes; Orectolobiformes; Hemiscylliidae. The record is from RefSeq and is a predicted model, not a curated record.